Molecule: non-coding RNA, 25 nt
Filed under: Mus musculus (house mouse)
Lineage: Eukaryota; Metazoa; Chordata; Mammalia; Rodentia; Muridae
Source: RNAcentral
UGAGUGCUCAGUUUUACCUGCUCCC